Molecule: transfer RNA, 77 nt
Filed under: Verticiella sediminum
Lineage: Bacteria; Pseudomonadati; Pseudomonadota; Betaproteobacteria; Burkholderiales; Alcaligenaceae
Description: tRNA-Arg
Rfam family: tRNA
About the family: Transfer RNA (tRNA) molecules are approximately 80 nucleotides in length. Their secondary structure includes four short double-helical elements and three loops (D, anti-codon, and T loops).
Source: RNAcentral
CUGCCCAUAGCUCAGUUGGAUAGAGCAUCUGCCUUCUAAGCAGACGGUCGGGGGUUCGACUCCCUCUGGGCAGGCCA